AAGUGAUCUAGGUAUGGGCAGGGUGAAGGUGCAGUAACAUGCACUGGAGGCCCGAACCGUUGAGCGUUGAAAAGCUCUCGGAUGACCUGUGCCUAGGGGUGAAAGGCCAAUCAAACUUGCUUAUAGCUGGUUCUCCGCGAAAUCUAUUUAGGUAGAGCGUCGAUCGAAUACUCUUGGGGGUAGAGCACUGACUGGGCUAGGGGUCCUCACCGGAUUACCAAACCUUAUCAAACUCCGAAUACCAAGAAGUACUAAUCGGCAGACACACGGCGGGUGCUAACGUCCGUCGUGGAGAGGGAAACAACCCUGACCACCAAUUAAGGUCCCCAAAUAAUGGCUAAGUGUGAAAGGAUGUGGGAUUGCUUUGACAAUGAGGAGGUUGGCUUAGAAGCAGCCAUCCUUUAAAGAAAGCGUAACAGCUCACUGGUCUAAUUAAGCCGUCCCGCGCCGAAGAUGUACCGGGGCUAAAGCCACGUACCGAAGCUGCGGAUGUAACUUUCCUGAUGGGAUUGUUACGUGGUAGCGGAGCAUUCCGUAAGCCUGCGAAGGUGUACCGCGAGGUAUGCUGGAGGUAUCGGAAGUGAGAAUGCUGACAUGAGUAGCGAU
Molecule: ribosomal RNA, 606 nt
Filed under: Oxyrrhis marina
Lineage: Eukaryota; Dinophyceae; Oxyrrhinales; Oxyrrhinaceae
Description: partial Bacterial large subunit ribosomal RNA
Rfam family: Bacterial large subunit ribosomal RNA
Source: RNAcentral